Molecule: long non-coding RNA, 1392 nt
Organism: Sinocyclocheilus grahami
Lineage: Eukaryota; Metazoa; Chordata; Actinopteri; Cypriniformes; Cyprinidae
Exons: 2
Source: RefSeq, a predicted model, not a curated record
CCAUUUAUUUGUGCAAUGCACAUUAUCAUAUGUACAGCUCCACAUGGAGAACAGGAACAGAAAAAAAAGGACACAGAAAAUAAAUUAAUGUCACAAUACUGAUACAGCAAACAAACACAGAGCUGUAUCAAAACCGUGCCUCUUCCUUACAGAGAACAAUAUUAAUGAACACCACACAUUCACUACUUGUGUGGGAGGGGGAGUUCCAUCCUGGAUACAGGGAUCCUUUCUUUUGCUCAGUUCUCGCUAAUCAGUUGUCUUUGUCCAUUGUUAGCAUUCAAGGCUUUAUAGUCGCAUUGUGUCAAAGGGAAGAUAAUGGCAAAACGUAAGAGAUAGAGAAAACUGCUUUGAUAAAGUUAAAGCUUCAGUAUAUCACCGCAUGAUUGCGAAAAGAGGAAGGCAAAGCAUGAACAAGAUGUACAGCAAGUACUGCAAGUUACGACACAAGUGUGUUCUGGAUUUACCUAAUGCCAUUCAAGUGCAAAUAUAUUGAGAAGAGAAAGGGCAGAUCAGUGGCUGUACACUCUAGAAACGUCCUUUGGACCACGUGCCACUUACAGUCAAACAUGCAGUACAUUAUGAGGAUACCGAUAUAGCUGGAUUUUAAAGACAUAUCCACUUACGUUGCGUAAUGGCCUUGAUGAUUUCAUGUCAAAAUAUUAAUGGUCCACUCUGAAUGAUAUGUUAAGUCGGUUUAAAAGACACCUAUGGUAAUAAAAACAACAGGUUUUGAACACUAUCCAUCGAUCACAUUCCUCAGUCAAAAGGUGUUUCAGUAGCAAGCAUGAACGCAGUAGAAUUGUAUGCUAGGCAAAACUUCAAGCAAAUUUUAGGAUUCCUGAUAACCGUUUAGUACUAAGGGGCCGUUCACACAUAACGUGUUUUUCUAUUCCAAUUGAAUUAUUGUUUUUCUAUGUAAACGCGCUAGAUUGACCUUUGCGCUUGCAUCUUUUGCAGCUUCUCGCACACGACACGUUUUUAAAAGCAAAAACGCGUUCCGUUUGAGUGGCCCCUAAGAAGUGUAACUAGUUCUUUAGGGCACCAUUAACCAGUUAAAGACAUUAAGUUAACAUAAACGUCAACUUUCAGCUCAAAUCAAGCCAUGUCACUUUGAGGCUGCAAAACUACUUUUUCUAUGGAAUAACUACAUGAAUAAACAAUUUCCUUUGACUUAUGUUGUAAACAGUAUGUUAUUAUAGUGCAACAUAUACAUACAGAUCAAUAUUCAGUAGAAAACAACAUAAGAAUAAACUGCUAGUUAAAUCAACAGCAUUUCACAGAUCAAGUUUGAAAAAAACUCCCAUUUCCUGUACAGUCUUUCAAACGUAUUGUGCUUCUGCCCCCUAGUCCCGCGUCAUUUAGCUUCUGAAAGAAGUUAUGUUUUACAUGACA